AGUGAACGCUGGCGGCAGGCCUAACACAUGCCAGUCGAACGGCAGCACAAGAGAGCUUGCUCUCUGGGUGGCGAGUGGCGGGCGGGUGAGGAAUGCAUCGGAAUCUGCCCAUUUGUGGGGGAUAACCUCGGGAAACCGGGACUAAUACCGCAUACGACCUACGGGUGAAAGCAGGGGAUCUUCGGACCUUGCGCAGAUGGAUGAGCCGAUGCCGGAUUAGCUAGUUGGAGGGGUAAAGGCCCACCAAGGCGACGAUCCGUAGCUGGUCUGAGAGGAUGAUCAGCCACACUGGGACUGAGACACGGCCCAGACUCCUACGGGAGGCAGCAGUGGGGAAUAUUGGACAAUGGGCGCAAGCCUGAUCCAGCCAUGCCGCGUGUGUGAAGAAGGCCUUCGGGUUGUAAAGCACUUUUGUUGGGAAAGAAAAGCAGCCGGUUAAUACCCGGUUGUCAUGACGGUACCCAAAGAAUAAGCACCGGCUAACUUCGUG
This 490-nucleotide ribosomal RNA is filed under the name uncultured bacterium. Its description in RNAcentral is "partial 16S ribosomal RNA". It matches the Rfam family "Bacterial small subunit ribosomal RNA", at positions 29 to 507 of the family's 1533-position model. The record is from RNAcentral.